AGGAGAGUCAAGUUGCUCCUCAGUGAAGACAACCAUGCUGGAUUGCAUUAUCACCUUUCAUUGAGACGCUCUCCUUGCAACCCAGCUCUGACAACGCAGGCUGACAACAGUCACCUUGUGGCUAUCCUGCUUAUUCAACAGCAAGGAUUUGGAUUGUUUUGUCCAUUGAAAAAAAAUAGAAGAAAGAAAUAUUGAAGGGGCCUGGAACACUGACGACCAUACAGAGGCCUUGGACUGCUCACCUCCAGACUUCAAAUGUGCCUGUGAUGCAGUUGGAUGUCCUGUGUCAAAAACUCUCCUUACACAUGAACAAGCCGAAAGUCAGCUUCUCUAGGAGGCCAGUUCUCAAGCAUUUUUGUAGAAGGGUCAGAAGUUUAUGAAUGAUAUUCA
Long non-coding RNA from Molossus molossus (Pallas's mastiff bat), 390 nucleotides. RefSeq lists it as uncharacterized. The transcript is spliced from 3 exons. NCBI's taxonomy places the organism in Eukaryota, Metazoa, Chordata, Mammalia, Chiroptera, Molossidae. The record is from RefSeq and is a predicted model, not a curated record.